AGAGUUUGAUCCUGGCUCAGGACGAACGCUGGCGGCGUGCCUAAUACAUGCAAGUAGAACGCUGAAGGAGGAGCUUGCUCUUCUGGAAGAGUUGCGAACGGGUGAGUAACGCGUAGGUAACCUGCCUGGUAGCGGGGGAUAACUAUUGGAAACGAUAGCUAAUACCGCAUAAUAUUGAAUAUCGCAUGAUAAUUGAUUAAAAGAUGCAAUUGCAUCACUACCAGAUGGACCUGCGUUGUAUUAGCUAGUAGGUGAGGUAACGGCUCACCUAGGCGACGAUACAUAGCCGACCUGAGAGGGUGAUCGGCCACACUGGGACUGAGACACGGCCCAGACUCCUACGGGAGGCAGCAGUAGGGAAUCUUCGGCAAUGGGGGCAACCCUGACCGAGCAACGCCGCGUGAGUGAAGAAGGUUUUCGGAUCGUAAAGCUCUGUUGUAAGAGAAGAACGAGUGUGAGAGUGGAAAGUUCACACUGUGACGGUAUCUUACCAGAAAGGGACGGCUAACUACGUGCCAGCAGCCGCGGUAAUACGUAGGUCCCGAGCGUUGUCCGGAUUUAUUGGGCGUAAAGCGAGCGCAGGCGGUUAGAUAAGUCUGAAGUUAAAGGCUGUGGCUUAACCAUAGUACGCUUUGGAAACUGUUUAACUUGAGUGCAGAAAGGGGAGAGUGGAAUUCCAUGUGUAGCGGUGAAAUGCGUAGAUAUAUGGAGGAACACCGGUGGCGAAAGCGGCUCUCUGGUCUGUAACUGACGCUGAGGCUCGAAAGCGUG
RNAcentral lists this ribosomal RNA (771 nucleotides) under uncultured bacterium. RNAcentral's name for it is "bacterial SSU rRNA". It matches the Rfam family "Bacterial small subunit ribosomal RNA", at positions 8 to 763 of the family's 1533-position model. The record is from RNAcentral.